Oncorhynchus tshawytscha (Chinook salmon) is the source of this 1499-nucleotide long non-coding RNA. NCBI's taxonomy places the organism in Eukaryota, Metazoa, Chordata, Actinopteri, Salmoniformes, Salmonidae. The record is from Ensembl.
GUGGCCAUGGUAGCCACGGAAGCCCUGGGGUGGUACGAAAGGAAGGGGGCCUCGACCCCAGGCGAAGGGUCCCCCACAACACCCUAGGUCCCGGCGGCCACGGCCUGACAGCGCUGCGGCGCCUAGGGCGAUGCGCCUAGGGGAGGGAUCUCCUCUGGGCCCCGAAGGACGGGACGAUGAUCUAUUCAGAAGAGCAGGAUGAGGACCUGAGCCCUAGGACCAUGCCUCAGGACUACCUGGCCUGAUGACUCCUUACUGUCCCCAUUCCACCUAGCCGUGCUGCUGCUCCAGUUUCAACUGUUCUGCCUGUGGCUAUGGAACCCUGACCUGUUCACCGGACGUGCUACCUGUCACAGACCUGCUGUUUUCAACUCUCUAGAGACAGCAGGAGCGGUAGAGAUACUCUGAAUGAUCGGCUUUGAAAAGCCAACUGACAUUUGCUCCUGAGCUGCUGACCCGUUGCACCCUCGACAACCACUGUGAUUAUUAUUAUUUGACCCUGCUGGUCAUCUAUGAACAUUUGAACGUCUUGGGCAUGUUCUGUUAUUAUCUCCACCUGAAACAGCCAGAUGAGGACUGGCCACCCCUCAUAGCCUGGUUUUGGCCUUUCUAGGCAGUUUUUCCUAGCCACCGUGCUUCUACACCUGCAUUGCUUGCUGUUUGUGGUUUUAUGCUGGGUUUCUGUACAGCACUUUGAGAUAUCAGCUGAUGUAAGAAGAGCUUUAUAAAUACAUUUGAAGUACUGCCCUAAUGGUUUACAGUACUCCAUAGAAUUGGUAAUAACAAGUGGUAAUAACACAGUAAUAACAUGGUAAUAAAACACAGUAAUAACACAGUAUAAACAGUAAGAACAUGUUAAUAAAUAAGUGUUGUGUGCUUUGGCAUUGCGUGUAUGAACAAUUGUGAUAUUGUCGCUCUCUCCUGACUGUUCAUGCAUGUUUUAUUUUCCUGAGAGUUCAAAGAAGACACUUCCAAUCCUCUGGUAGCACAGACUGUUCUGUCUGUUCUGUCAGACUAGAAUAAAAUACUGAGAGAUGAGUGCACCAAUCUGACCUGUCACCUGAGUGGUUAAUUGCUCUAACUACCAGUCUGUGUACAGGGGUUAGUUGACCUCCUCCAUAACAAACUCCUGCCCUCAUGCACACACAACAACACGCCCUCACACAGAUGCAAACCCACUCACGAAAAAUUCCCUCACACUCACAUACCUGGUUUGAAGGUGUGUGACAGGUGUUUGGUUAUUGCGUGCCAAAGGACUGAAGACUUCAGCUGCCUUUACAGUCAUUACUCAGAAAGGGAGAUGCUUCAAGGGAAUUUCAAUUUGCUGUGGGCUAAACAGUGUUUUGGUUAUGAUGUGAGCUCUGUAAAUGGACAUCCUGGAUGUAUGUGUGUGACCCUUACAUGACUAAAUAACAGACUACUUGAACAUUUCCUAUUGAUAUUUGUCACUUUAUUGUCCUCAAUUGCUGCCCUAUAUACAUAGACUUGGAAUCACUGGC